Lactuca sativa (garden lettuce) is the source of this 2136-nucleotide non-coding RNA. The record is from RefSeq and is a predicted model, not a curated record. NCBI's taxonomy places the organism in Eukaryota, Viridiplantae, Streptophyta, Magnoliopsida, Asterales, Asteraceae.
ACCCUAGAUUUUCUUUGAACACUAGAGUAACUUAAAUGAAACAUAACAUAUUUUUAUAUUAUUUCUUCAUUAUAUAUAUAUAUAUUAAAGUUAUCGUUCCUUAGCUACAGUAAAUGUGCUAAGGAAUUAACAUAAAUGGUCCCAUGUUUAUGUCUUUAGUUACAGUUCUGGUCAUUUCUGUUAUAUUUUGAUUUAUUUAAUUUCUCCGUUUUAGGUUUAUUCCACCACCGCCGACCUUCUGACACUAUCACCAUACGUGGCUUCUGUAUCUCCUCACCACCUCACCUGCCACUCCUCUUAUGCCAUCUUCAUGAUCCACCGCCUACUUCUCUCCAUGUUUUACGUCUUUUCUCCCAAAGAGGGUUACUUUACCGGGGUUAAGGCACCGCUUCUAUCAUCUUAGUAGACAACCUUCCCAAUCCAUAUCCACUGCUUCUUUCUUCCACAGUAAAGUUCCAUCCACCGACUCCACUGCCUGCUUUCAUCUGCAUUUCUUUCGUCACGAUCCCUUCCCUAUCUGCUAUUCGACUCUUCAAUUCCGCCAUAGCCGACGCCGACGAGUAUGCGUACACCACAGACGUCUCCGACGAGUCUGCCCCCACCAUUGUAGAAGCCGGCGAGCCCUAAUUUCGUGUACCUUUACUUCAACUCCGGCCACAUCCACAUCCGACGAGUCAUGCUUCGAUUCCGGAUACAUUCAAUGUCGGGUGCGAUUCAUUGUUAAUAGACUUUGUGUGAGAUUAAGGUACAACACAACUAAUUUUCAGUUUCUUACUUCCCACUAUCGUUGUUGGUUGCAGCCUCAAAUCAACGAACGUUCUCCUCUACCAUCCUCUGUUUCAGACCCUAAUCCGGGUAACCUUUCGUUCAUGUUUUCUUCUUUCUCCAUGUCUACUGUAUGGUCUAAAGAUGCAUAAAUUGGUGUGAAAUCAAGAUCAGAGACGAUAAUGGAAACUACAAUCAUCUAUCAUUCUUUGGGAAAGGUACCCACUUUUUUUGUUACUUUUGUAACAUUUUUCAUAAUUUACAUCAUAAUUUUAGUUUUUCAUCAUAUUUGGUGUGUCAAUGAGUUAUGUGCCUGUCAAUUACGAUGAUUUUGGUGUUUGUUGCUGCAUUAUGGUUACAGUUUUACAUGGAAUGUGGGAAAGAAGUUCAGUUAAAGGUAGUUUUGGGGAUUCAUGUAUUUUUUCCUAAUUUGAGGUUAGAUUCCACUGGAAUUAAACCAAUCUCUCGCCCAUGUUCAUUUGUUCCUUUGGUAAAUUAUAGAUUUUUAUUAAUACUUUCUGGUGUGUCCUUGAUUUAUACCGGUGUCUUAUAUUUUGGCUUGCUUUAUGUUCUUUUCAUUUAAAUCUAUCUGCUAUAAAAUUCAUGAUUUGUAGGAUUUAAAGAAUUUUAAUGGGUUUCAAAAAAAGAAUAUCUCAAUUACAAAAAAUAGACGGUGGUUAAAGGUAUGUAUAGUCUCUUAACAUAGGAUUCAUAUAAAUAUGAUGUCUUUUGCCCUUAUUCAAGUUUUGGCUUUGAUGUAUAGUUCAAAUUCCUCAUUUACUGUCUUUCACAAGGUGACUAAGAUGGAGCUUACCAGGCUGUUAUAAGGCUAUUUUUGUCAAAUGAAGAUGAAAUACAUCUAACGAUGCAAGGUAAUGGAAUUCGUAAGCCAUGUCAACAGUAGACUGAAACAACAACAAAUUAGUAGGUUUUCCUUUGGAAGUGUUAAUGAGGUUGUUGCUUCAGCAGCAAUCGAAAUAACAUGAGCCGUUUGCAUCUGGUCAAGCUCUGAUUUGAUGACAUAAUGAAAGUAUAAACAAACAUGGAAUACAAGGUGCACAUUGACAUCAGAAGGAAAAGAGAGCAUGAAGGAAGUAACUCAUGUAGCUUAUGUCUCUUCAAUAUCACCCUGCAACUGGUGGAAACAGAAACAGAAGCAGAAGCAGAAGCCGAGAAUGUGGAUGACUCGCCUACAUUUUGGACAGCAUGUCCUUACUGUUUCUACAUGUAUAAGUAUCAAAGGGUCUAUGCAGAGUGCACUAUUUAACCAGAUGGGGAGGGUUAAACUCCAAUGUUGAAUCCAAUUAUUGACCACCUGAUUGAUCAAAUAAACAAAUAGAUGAUCAAAUAACAUUUACAAAGAACAAACAA